Molecule: ribosomal RNA, 460 nt
Filed under: uncultured bacterium
Lineage: Bacteria
Description: partial 16S ribosomal RNA
Rfam family: Bacterial small subunit ribosomal RNA
Source: RNAcentral
CCUACGGGUGGCAGCAGUGAGGAAUAUUGGUCAAUGGACGAGAGUCUGAACCAGCCAAGUAGCGUGAAGGAUGACUGCCCUAUGGGUUGUAAACUUCUUUUAUAUGGGAAUAAAAUGUUCCACGUGUGGGAUUUUGUAUGUACCAUAUGAAUAAGGAUCGGCUAACUCCGUGCCAGCAGCCGCGGUAAUACGGAGGAUCCGAGCGUUGUCCGGAUUUAUUGGGUUUAAAGGGAGCGUAGGUGGAUUGUUAAGUCAGUUGUGAAAGUUUGCGGCUCAACCGUAAAAUUGCAGUUGAAACUGGUAGUCUUGAGUACAGUAGAGGUGGGCGGAAUUCGUGGUGUAGCGGUGGAAUGCUUAGAUAUCACGAAGAACUCCGAUUGCGAAGGCAGCUCACUGGACUGCAACUGACACUGAGGCUCGAAAGUGUGGGUAUCAAACAGGAUUAGAUACCCCAGUAGUC